This 480-nucleotide ribosomal RNA is filed under the name uncultured bacterium. RNAcentral's name for it is "bacterial SSU rRNA". It matches the Rfam family "Bacterial small subunit ribosomal RNA", at positions 28 to 507 of the family's 1533-position model. The record is from RNAcentral.
GACGAACGCUGGCGGCGCGCCUAACACAUGCAAGUCGAACGGAGAUCAUUUGGUAGAAGUUUUCGGAUGGACACCGAGUGAUCUUAGUGGCGAACGGGUGAGUAACGCGUGAGCAAUCUGCCUCAGAGUGGGGGACAACAGUUGGAAACGACUGCUAAUACCGCAUAAGCCCACAGCACCGCAUGGUGCAGGGGGAAAAGAUUUAUUGCUUUGAGAUGAGCUCGCGUCCAAUUAGCUGGUUGGUGAGGUAACGGCCCACCAAGGCGACGAUUGGUAGCCGGACUGAGAGGUUGAACGGCCACAUUGGGACUGAGAUACGGCCCAGACUCCUACGGGAGGCAGCAGUGGGGAAUAUUGCACAAUGGGGGGAACCCUGAUGCAGCGACGCCGCGUGGAGGAAGAAGGUCUUCGGAUUGUAAACUCCUGUUGUUAGGGACGAUAAUGACGGUACCUAACAAGGAAGCACCGGCUAACUACGUG